UCCAGUGGUAGUCAGCUGUCCAGUGCCGUCCAUGCCUGUGACUGUGUUACACUGCUGGCAGAUAAAGUCACUACUUCUUCAUGCUGGUGGCCGCGGUUGCCGUUCUGGUGACAUGUCCCCCCAGCAUCUAGUAGUGUUGUGAUUCCUUGAGAGUGUGCCUCACAGGGCCUUCUGUUUGGUGCUAGUCUGGAAUUACACAGA
Bufo bufo (common toad) is the source of this 201-nucleotide small nucleolar RNA. RefSeq annotates it as small nucleolar RNA SNORA74. NCBI's taxonomy places the organism in Eukaryota, Metazoa, Chordata, Amphibia, Anura, Bufonidae. The transcript has a single exon. The record is from RefSeq and is a predicted model, not a curated record.